This 21-nucleotide unclassified non-coding RNA is filed under the name Chlamydomonas reinhardtii. Its description in RNAcentral is "small RNA Cre_0408". Lineage: Eukaryota; Viridiplantae; Chlorophyta; Chlorophyceae; Chlamydomonadales; Chlamydomonadaceae. The record is from RNAcentral.
AGAAGGACCGUGGUGGAUUGG